UCUUAUACUUUAUUUUAAUUUUAAAACAUUUAAUUAUUCCAAGUUUGCUUUCGAUCUCUUUCUAAAUUAAUGAUAUUUAACAUGCUAUUCUUUUUAAUACAACAUGUUUUAGAUUUUUAGGAUUAUUUUGCAUAGUAUUUCGGUUGAUGAGAACUCGUUUGGAUGAUUCAAACCUGGUUAAUUCAAACAUGGUAGAACUGCUGGACUUUUUUGAACAAUUCCGAAAAUUCAAAUUCGAACAAUUCUGGUGAUUUGAAGACUUUUGCUCUUUCGAAACGUUUAGGAAAUCUACAUUUUACCAAAAGCCGACAUCAUAGUUUUUUUAAAGCUUUCAAAAUGUUUGGGAAACAUUAAUCCAACCAAGAGAAAUCAUAGUUUUUUUAAGGUAAGUGAUAGGAUUUAAUAAUCUUCGUGUGUUUCUUAAAUGAAAAUGCAUUCAAGAAUUAGCCGAAACAUUAUAUUUGUCAAAAACUCUAACAAUAAAAUAAUCGUUUUCAUCAAAACGGUUUGACACCUUCUGAUUAGGUUUAAAACCGCUUUUCUUCCGCGAUACGAAUUAAUUGAAAUGAUUAAUUUAUCUUCUGCAAGCGUUCAAAAUCUUGACGUAGACUGGCAAAAAAUUGAUUGAAAUUUAUUUAAUGAAUUAUAGGGUUAAUGUUAACUAUCACGUCCUGAUAGAAAACGGUGUUUUCUAAUAACGGAAA
Molecule: long non-coding RNA, 704 nt
Organism: Parasteatoda tepidariorum (common house spider)
Lineage: Eukaryota; Metazoa; Arthropoda; Arachnida; Araneae; Theridiidae
Source: RefSeq, a predicted model, not a curated record